UACGUAGGGGGCAAGCGUUGUCCGGAUUUAUUGGGCAUAAAGAGCGUGUAGGCGGCCUGAAAGGUCAGCUGUGAAAACUCGAGGCUCAACCUCGAGACGUCGGCGGAAACCAUCUGGCUAGAGUCCGGAAGAGGAGAGUGGAAUUCCUGGUGUAGCGGUGAAAUGCGCAGAUAUCAGGAAGAACACCCGUGGCGAAGGCGGCUCUCUGGGACGGUACUGACGCUGAGACGCGAAAGCGUGGGGAGCGAACAGG
Molecule: ribosomal RNA, 253 nt
Filed under: uncultured bacterium
Lineage: Bacteria
Description: partial 16S ribosomal RNA
Rfam family: Bacterial small subunit ribosomal RNA
Source: RNAcentral